CAGCUCAGACCUGUUAUAUGAAGCGAUGCCGGUAGAAGAGACAACAUGGAUAUAAGAACAUUGUUUUCGAAGAAGAGGAAAACUGGACCAACAUAUGGAAGAAAAAUGAUGACUGGUUACCUGGCCUCAAAAGGAAUCCGAGCAUCAGAGGGGCGUGUUGGUCGUGUCCUCAGAGAAACUAACCAGCCAUAUCAUGCAGAUCGGUAUCGUAGAUAAAGGAAUUUAAAUCCAGUGCCAUACAGUGCAGAGUACAUGGGUCACAAAUUGCACAUUGACCAAAACGAGAAACUGGUGAUGUAUGGGGUGACCCACGUCCUUGCCUUGGACGGAUUCUCCAGCA
This is a long non-coding RNA of Gymnodraco acuticeps, 340 nucleotides long. RefSeq lists it as uncharacterized. The transcript has 4 exons. The record is from RefSeq and is a predicted model, not a curated record. NCBI's taxonomy places the organism in Eukaryota, Metazoa, Chordata, Actinopteri, Perciformes, Bathydraconidae.